CUAUGUGCACAUACAUAUAUUUGUAUGUAUGUAUAUCACCACGUAACAAAAGUUUCAUGUAACAUUUGUCUCCUGUUAUCUUCUAUGUUGUUCUAUUUCCUUAAAUACAUAAACAAAAGACGGUUUACAGACAAUAAAUUGACUUCAUGACUUCCCUAUAUAGGCUACCACCACAGUUCAAAAACUGCUCAAGGGUAUUAUCCCAAGCAGUGGAAUUGCUGGGUCAUGGCCUGUCUUAGCUCGGACUGUCAUAACAAAAUACUAUAGAGUAGGUGGCUUAAACAACAGACAUUUUUUUCUCACAGUUCUGGAGGCUGGAAGUUCAAGAUCAGGGUGCCAGCAUGGUCGGAUUUGGGCGAGAUCCCUUUUCCUGGCUUACAGACAGCUGCCUUCUUACUGUGUCCUCACAUGUAAGGCUCAGGUCUUCUCCUCUAAGAGCACUAAUCCCAUUAUGGGGGCUCCCCUCUUAUGAUCUCAUCUAAACUUAAUUACCUCCCAAGGCCCCAUCUCCAAAUACUAUCACAUUGGGGAGUAGGGUUUCAGCAUAUGAAUUUUGGGGGGGACACAUUCAGUCCACAGCUUGAGGUACACGCAUAUUCAGCUUUGCUAGACAAUGCCACUGUUUUCCAAAAGAGUUAUAGCAAAUUAUGCUUGCACAAGAAGACAAGCAAGUUGCCACUGUUGUGCCUCCUCACUGGAUUUAAAUAUAAUCCUAUCUGAUUCUGCCUAUGUGAAAUGGCAUCCUGUAAUCUAAGUAUAAAUUCCCAUAAUUAGUAGUGAGCCUGAGCAUCCUUCCUAUGUUUAUUGGCCAUCUGUAUUUUCCUGUUCCAUAAACUAUGAGACAGGGAAUCUAUCUACACAGGAAAAGUUUCCAUGGCCAUUUCAGAGCCUGAGUUAGGACACAUACUCCAGUGUGUGGCUCUGAUGUGUGACCAACCUGCCCAAGAGAAAAGGGAAGCAGUCAAACAUUACCUUCUCAGGAAGACUUCCAAUUCUUCUCAGGCCAGAGCAAAGUAGAAUCAGCAGCAAAAAGAAUAAAGAAAAACCAGGUGGAGAAAAGAGGUUUUGUUUUUCGUAAAGCUAAAAAGUCCUAACUUGGGCCACAGAAAAAAUCUGCUCUUGAAAAGUCUAGCUAUGUAAAUCUGGAUAAGUUGUUAUUCUUCUGUUCUCAGUCUUCCAAUCUGUAAAAUUAGGAUAGCAAUCUGUACCACUUCUUACCCUCAUGUGGGAAUUUGGAAAUAAAAAUUCUUUUAAAACUUAGAAGAUAAAGAGUUUGUAGAAAUCCGAGGUUCUGUGGGUGUUAGUCAUCCAACGCCUUCCAAAAGCUUAAGUGAGACGAGAGAACUGUAGACCUUUGAACAGCUUUUCAGAGUGAGCAGCUCUCCUGAAUUCCUGCCUGAAAGGCCUGAUGGCACUGCAGAACAAUAAAUUAUCCCCUAAAAUAACACAGCCCUACCUUUCAGUCUCAGAAAAGAAAUCUAAGAAACUCUUCAUGUUCAGGCAUAGAAACCAAAUCCCUUAGUGGUCAGAUGGCCUUUCUGGGGUCUCUUGUUCUCUGGUUCAGGUCAGUCACCGCACCUUUUGGUCUGAUCCCCUUCAGGCUGCAGAUGCAGAUCCACCCUAAUGUCAGACUUGCUUGUGUUAGAGUCAAUCACAAGAGUGAGGGCUCUGUAGUCCACAGCUCUUCCAUCCCAUUCUUAGGAUGAAGCAAUCACAGAAAGGAAACAGAAAUGACUCCUCUGAGGUAUCAAUUAUCAAAGCACAAAGGAAAAAGCUGGUACCAAAUAGCUUUCUUUACCAAAGAAUAAGAAGGUAGAUCGAUAUAAUUUAUAACCAAGGGGUGUUCCCAACCAGCAGGCCAGGAUCAUACCAGCUGCUGCUUCCACACCUCCUUUCUGAGGUUUUGACCUCACUGCCAGCACUCACUGUCAUCCUUUACUCACAUCAACCCCACCAAAUGGGGUGCGAAGACUUGGCAGGAAAAAAUUAUCCCUGAACCUUAUCAUACAAAGGGAAACUGCCUAAAGCCAUCUCCAGCUAGAAGACAUGCCACCUGCAGAGCAGUACAAAGGCAGCUGAAUUGAGCCAAGUGUUACAAUGCUGGUGGGCUAGUGGGUGCUCUUCCCGCAUCUCUAUGAUGUUCAUGAUCAGCACUUGCAUCUUUUUCUGAGCUCACUGCUGCUUCCAGUAUUUGCUAUUGACUUUUUUUUUUUAAAGUAGGCUUUUUGGUGAGGGAGAUUGGCCCUGAGUUAACAUCUAUUGCCAAUCUUCCUCGUUUUUUUUUUUUUCUCCCUAAAGCCCCAGUACACAGUUGUAUAUCCUAGUUGUAGGUCAUUCUAGUUCUCUAUGUGGGAUGCCGCCACAGCACAGCUUGAUGAGUGGUGUGUAGGUACGCACGCAGGAUCGGAACUGGCGAACCCCGGGCCGCUGAAGCAAAAAACACCAACUUAACCACUUGGCUGUGGGGCUGGCCACUACUAUUGACUUCUUUUGCUCUAGGCAGACUCUCUCAGCCAAAGUUUCACCUUAGCUCAGGAACUUCCCUAAUUCUGUGAGUCAGUGUUCUAACACAUGGAGUUAAGGAAGGAAAGGAAAUCAUACCUACCAAGGACCCAGGAGGAUCACUCCUUCAGAGAUCAGUAAUAUGGUUAAAACAAGACCUAGGAGAAAUUCACUUUGGUUGCAAAAUUGGACCUAAAGAGAUAUUUACACAUUCAGUAAAGAUUUAUCUAUAAUUUUCCUCUGUUUGGACUAAAAUUAUAAAUAGCUGUCAUCUACUUUCAUACAAAAAAGGGAUGGCAAAGCCAAAAGCCGGCAAAGAGCAGGAGGAGGACGCCAGAAUGAGAGUAAGCACUACAUACAGAUUUUUUCACUUACUCACAACUUGUCUUCAGAAGCAGCAUCCAAGGACAAAAGGAUUCAAAAGCAAGGCCCUAGGUAAACAAUUUUCUUCUAGAGCCCAAGAAAAGAAGUUUUUCACAAGCACUAAUAUGCUAAUAUGUCUAGGUCUCAGUAAAAUAUAGUAUAGAAGAACUAUUGCAAAAACCUGAGAACAUUUCCUAAUUAUUAACAGAUCUCUUUCCA
RNAcentral lists this long non-coding RNA (3084 nucleotides) under Equus caballus (horse). RNAcentral's name for it is "lncRNA (ENSECAG00000047330.1)". Lineage: Eukaryota; Metazoa; Chordata; Mammalia; Perissodactyla; Equidae. The record is from RNAcentral.